ACCGGGCUGGCUCAGUCGGUAGAGCAUGCAACUCUUGAUCUCAGGGUCGUGAGUUCAAGCCCCACGUUGGGUA
RNAcentral lists this transfer RNA (73 nucleotides) under Canis lupus familiaris (dog). It matches the Rfam family "tRNA". From Rfam's summary of the family: Transfer RNA (tRNA) molecules are approximately 80 nucleotides in length. Their secondary structure includes four short double-helical elements and three loops (D, anti-codon, and T loops). RNAcentral also lists the same sequence under 1 other name. Lineage: Eukaryota; Metazoa; Chordata; Mammalia; Carnivora; Canidae. The record is from Rfam by way of RNAcentral.